UCCACGCCGUAAACGAUGAAUACUCGUUGUCUGCGAUAUACUGUAGGCGACUGAGCGAAAGCAUUAAGUAUUCCACCUGGGGAGUACGUUCGCAAGAAUGAAACUCAAAGGAAUUGACGGGGGCCCGCACAAGCGGAGGAACAUGUGGUUUAAUUCGAUGAUACGCGAGGAACCUUACCCGGGUUUAAAUGCAGGACGUAAGACCGAGAAAUCGGUCCCCCUUGGGCGGACUG
RNAcentral lists this ribosomal RNA (233 nucleotides) under uncultured bacterium. RNAcentral describes it as "partial 16S ribosomal RNA". It matches the Rfam family "Bacterial small subunit ribosomal RNA", at positions 794 to 1033 of the family's 1533-position model. The record is from RNAcentral.